GUAACAAGGUUUCCGUAGGUGAACCUGCGGAAGGAUCAUUACCUAGAGUUGUAGGCUUUGCCUGCUAUCUCUUACCCAUGUCUUUUGAGUACCUUCGUUUCCUCGGCGGGUUCGCCCGCCGAUUGGACAAUUUAAACCAUUUGCAGUUGCAAUCAGCGUCUGAAAAAAACUUAAUAGUUACAACUUUCAACAACGGAUCUCUUGGUUCUGGCAUCGAUGAAGAACGCAGCGAAAUGCGAUAAGUAGUGUGAAUUGCAGAAUUCAGUGAAUCAUCGAAUCUUUGAACGCACAUUGCGCCCCUUGGUAUUCCAUGGGGCAUGCCUGUUCGAGCGUCAUUUGUACCUUCAAGCUCUGCUUGGUGUUGGGUGUUUGUCUCGCCUCUGCGCGUAGACUCGCCUCAAAACAAUUGGCAGCCGGCGUAUUGAUUUCGGAGCGCAGUACAUCUCGCGCUUUGCACUCAUAACGACGACGUCCAAAAGUACAUUUUUACACUCUUGACCUCGGAUCAGGUAGGGAUACCCGCUGAACUUAAGCAUAUCAAUA
This 543-nucleotide ribosomal RNA is filed under the name Ascomycota sp. ARIZ OCFre1-15. RNAcentral describes it as "eukaryotic LSU rRNA". The stretch from base 182 to 335 matches the Rfam family "5.8S ribosomal RNA". Lineage: Eukaryota; Fungi; Ascomycota. The record is from RNAcentral.